RNAcentral lists this ribosomal RNA (515 nucleotides) under uncultured bacterium. RNAcentral describes it as "partial 16S ribosomal RNA". It matches the Rfam family "Bacterial small subunit ribosomal RNA", at positions 28 to 523 of the family's 1533-position model. The record is from RNAcentral.
GAUGAACGCUGGCGGCGUGCCUAAUACAUGCAAGUCGAGCGAAUGGAUUAAGAGCUUGCUCUUAUGAAGUUAGCGGCGGACGGGUGAGUAACACGUGGGUAACCUGCCCAUAAGACUGGGAUAACUCCGGGAAACCGGGGCUAAUACCGGAUAACAUUUUGAACCGCAUGGUUCGAAAUUGAAAGGCGGCUUCGGCUGUCACUUAUGGAUGGACCCGCGUCGCAUUAGCUAGUUGGUGAGGUAACGGCUCACCAAGGCAACGAUGCGUAGCCGACCUGGGAGGGUGAUCGGCCACACUGGGACUGUGACACGGCCCAGACCCCUACGGGAGGCAGCAGUAGGGAAUCUUCCGCAAUGUACGAAAGUCUGACGGAGCAACGCCGCGUGAGUGAUGAAGGCUUUCGGGUCGUAAAACUCUGUUGUUAGGGAAGAACAAGUGCUAGUUGAAUAAGCUGGCACCUUGACGGUACCUAACCAGAAAGCCACGGCUAACUACGUGCCAGCAGCCGCCGUAA